RNAcentral lists this ribosomal RNA (484 nucleotides) under uncultured bacterium. RNAcentral describes it as "partial 16S ribosomal RNA". It matches the Rfam family "Bacterial small subunit ribosomal RNA", at positions 30 to 507 of the family's 1533-position model. The record is from RNAcentral.
AUUGAACGCUGGCGGCAGGCCUAACACAUGCAAGUCGAGCGGAUGAAGGGAGCUUGCUCCUGGAUUCAGCGGCGGACGGGUGAGUAAUGCCUAGGAAUCUGCCUGGUAGUGGGGGAUAACGUCCGGAAACGGGCGCUAAUACCGCAUACGUCCUGAGUGAGAAAGUGGGGGAUCUUCGGACCUCACGCUAUCAGAUGAGCCUAGGUCGGAUUAGCUAGUUGGUGGGGUAAAGGCCUACCAAGGCGACGAUCCGUAACUGGUCUGAGAGGAUGAUCAGUCACACUGGAACUGAGACACGGUCCAGACUCCUACGGGAGGCAGCAGUGGGGAAUAUUGGACAAUGGGCGAAAGCCUGAUCCAGCCAUGCCGUGUGUGUGAAGAAGGUCUUCGGAUUGUAAAGCACUUUAAGUUGGGAGGAAGGGCAGUAAGUUAAUACCUUGCUGUUUUGACGUUACCAACAGAAUAAGCACCGGCUAACUUCGUG